This 253-nucleotide ribosomal RNA is filed under the name uncultured bacterium. RNAcentral's name for it is "partial 16S ribosomal RNA". It matches the Rfam family "Bacterial small subunit ribosomal RNA", at positions 524 to 776 of the family's 1533-position model. The record is from RNAcentral.
UACAGAGGGGGCAAGCGUUAUCCGGAAUUAUUGGGCGUAAAGGGCGCGUAGGCGGCUUGGCAAGUGGAAGGUGAAAUCCCUCGGCUUAACCGAGGAACUGCCCUCCAAACUGCUUGGCUUGAGACCGGGAGAGGUGAGUGGAAUUCCCAGUGUAGCGGUGAAAUGCGUAGAUAUUGGGAGGAACACCAGUGGCGAAGGCGGCUCACUGGACCGGUACUGACGCUGAUGCGCGAAAGCGUGGGGAGCAAACGGG